AUUUUCUUAGUAUAAUCAAUACUAAUGAUUUCCAAUCAUUAAAUUCAAGUUUAACUCCUGGAGAAAAUA
RNAcentral lists this transfer RNA (69 nucleotides) under Hypogeophis rostratus. RNAcentral's name for it is "tRNA-Gly". It matches the Rfam family "tRNA". Rfam says of the family: Transfer RNA (tRNA) molecules are approximately 80 nucleotides in length. Lineage: Eukaryota; Metazoa; Chordata; Amphibia; Gymnophiona; Indotyphlidae. The record is from RNAcentral.